CGUUUAGCUCAGCUGGUUCAGAACACUCCGAUAUAUCGGAGGGGUCGGCGGUUCGAAUCCGUCAACGCCCA
RNAcentral lists this transfer RNA (71 nucleotides) under Bacteroidia bacterium. Its description in RNAcentral is "tRNA-OTHER". It matches the Rfam family "tRNA". From Rfam's summary of the family: Transfer RNA (tRNA) molecules are approximately 80 nucleotides in length. Their secondary structure includes four short double-helical elements and three loops (D, anti-codon, and T loops). Lineage: Bacteria; Pseudomonadati; Bacteroidota; Bacteroidia. The record is from RNAcentral.